AUGGUCUGGACUCCUCUCAUGAUGCUGCUGUGGGUGUGGUGCACAGGUUCCAGCUCCCAGUCUGUGGUGACGCAGCCGCCCUCAGAGUCAGUAUCCCCAGGAAACACUGUGAAACUCUCCUGCACCGUAAGCAGUGGGACCAGCAUCAGUGGCUACAGAGUGUACUGGUUUCAGCAGAAACCUGGGACCCCCCCUCAGUACCUGCUGUAUUACUACACAGAUUCCAGCAAGCACCAGGGCUCCGGGGUCCCCGCUCGCUUCUCUGGUUCCAAAGACACGUCCAGUAACACCGGCUACCUGACCAUCGCCGGUGCCCUUGCAGAGGACGAGGCUGACUUUUACUGUGGUAUGUGGGACUGUGAUGCUUGUCACAGUGAUACAGUCAGAGAACAAGUGAAACAAAAACCUCUGCUAUCUUCCCCAGCUGGGCUUUUGUGA
This is a non-coding RNA of Alligator mississippiensis (American alligator), 438 nucleotides long. Lineage: Eukaryota; Metazoa; Chordata; Crocodylia; Alligatoridae. The record is from the annotation of a RefSeq genome assembly.